Molecule: long non-coding RNA, 277 nt
Filed under: Lathyrus oleraceus (garden pea)
Lineage: Eukaryota; Viridiplantae; Streptophyta; Magnoliopsida; Fabales; Fabaceae
Description: Pisum sativum (pea) long non-coding RNA (PSAT_LNC002437)
Source: RNAcentral
ACAAUACACCACUCAAUUUUGGAGCUUCAGGACAGUCCAGCUUACCAACACCCUCGACUUCUCUUUUAGUUCCAUCACCAAAUGUCACAAACUUGGUGGUAGGAGGAUGUAGAUUCACCACUAGGUUGCUCAUCCCAGUCAUAUGCCUUGAGCAGCCACUAUCAAGGUACCAGUCUUGUCUGAUAUGUGCCCUUGAAAAUGUGUGAGCAAGGUUAGCAACACAUUGUUGAUUCUCAGGAUAGGAGUGAAGCUUAGAUGCCUGCUGCUUAGGAUUGAC